UGGGGAAUUGUUCGCAAUGGGCGCAAGCCUGACGACGCAACGCCGCGUGGGGGAAGAAGGCUUUCGGGUUGUAAACCUCUUUCAGGGGGGACGAAGCCACCGGGGUUAAUAGCCCACGGGGUGACGGUACCCCCAGAAGAAGCCCCGGCUAACUACGUGCCAGCAGCCGCGGUAAUACGUAGGGGGCAAGCGUUGUCCGGAAUCAUUGGGCGUAAAGCGCGUGUAGGUGGCUUGGUAAGUCCGGUGUGAAACCUUGGGGCUCAACCCCAAGCCUGCAUCGGAUACUGCCUCGCUCGAGUUCGGGAGGGGAGAGCGGAAUUCCUAGUGUAGCGGUGAAAUGCGCAGAUAUUAGGAAGAACACCGGUGGCGAAGGCGGCUCUCUGGAACGAUACUGACACUGAGACGCGAAAGCGUGGGUAGCAAACAGGAUUAGAUACCCAUGUAGUCCCUGAGCGGGCUGGCAAGGCGCAU
RNAcentral lists this ribosomal RNA (471 nucleotides) under uncultured bacterium. RNAcentral describes it as "bacterial SSU rRNA". It matches the Rfam family "Bacterial small subunit ribosomal RNA", at positions 355 to 825 of the family's 1533-position model. The record is from RNAcentral.